CGUGAAAUUGCUUUUGCCUUUUCUCUUCUCUUGCUGAUGAAGAAAGUAAGAGGAGCCACAUUUUCCUUUAUCCUCUAAAUAAUAAACGUAGUGCUUCGUAUCCAUGCCUCAAGCCUCACUUUCGCUGUCUGCUGAUACAGACAUAUCUGCUGAUACUGCGUGCAGAUGUUUACGGAUAUCUGUCUCACCGGUGGCUCAGGAGGAAGAUUAAUCACCUGAGUGGCACUUCGAAGGGAGUAACACACCAGCCGUGGUAUUGGUUUCACAAUAAAGCAGUGGCGGCUUACUGUAAAAUGGUGCACCACCACACAACACAAGAAAGUCAGGCUUCAGCAGUGGCAGGGGAGUGGGAUGAACUGCCACAUUCCCAUUUCAUUCCAAGAAGCAAAACAGGAGGCUUUGUCCCUGCUUAUCCUGAUCCUAUAGGCUUUCUUGUGUUCUUAUGAUCUAGAACAGCAGAUCUUAACCUGUGGGUCCCCAGAUGUUGUUGGACUACAACUCCCAUCAUCCCUGAGCUCUGGCCUUGCCAGCUAGGGGUGAUGGGAGUUGUAGUUCAACAACAUCUGGGGACCCACAGGUUGAGAAAGGCUGAUCUAGAAUGAUGGGCUGGUUUGUAAGAUAAUCCUUCACCUGCGGUUUGUUGGUUUGUUGGUUUGUUUUAGGUCAAAACCAGCAUUUUAUAUUGUGUCCAGGAGCUCAUUGGUAACCUUUGUUUUUCUUUAAGGACAUGCAAGAUCUGUUUCCUGUGAUUCAUUUCUUCAAAAGCCCAUGAAUCUGCAUUAAGCUGCAGUUUCCUGUAAUCUCUCCAGUGACCUUUUGAGCAUCUUGCAAAUUGGCUGGAAGAGUUUCUCAACGGAAAGCAACCCCCUUUUUAAAAAAACAAAACAGAAACCCAACAGAAAAUGGCUGAACAGUUUAAUUCCUCCAUGCAGACAAAACAUGCUAUAUGACUUCUCAUAUUGUGGCAGUCAUCUUCAAAUGCCUAACGGGAAUGAAGAUCCAGCGCUCAAGUGUUCCUGCUUGGUAGCCGGCAGCAAAAUGUAUGAUCCCUUGAUCAGCCAAAGGAGAAGAAAUGAAUGUUGCUGGAAGGAUCACUAAAAGAAAUUCAGCUUUGUUUUCCGUCCGGGUGACAAAUCUUUCUGAAGAAAACAUUCCAG
Podarcis lilfordi (Lilford's wall lizard) is the source of this 1157-nucleotide non-coding RNA. The record is from the annotation of a GenBank genome assembly. NCBI's taxonomy places the organism in Eukaryota, Metazoa, Chordata, Lepidosauria, Squamata, Lacertidae.